This is a non-coding RNA of Pogona vitticeps (central bearded dragon), 914 nucleotides long. Lineage: Eukaryota; Metazoa; Chordata; Lepidosauria; Squamata; Agamidae. The record is from RefSeq and is a predicted model, not a curated record.
UCUUUUCCCUCUAUGCAUGAAAAGUGUGAAACCUCUGAGUCUCUUCUUGCAGAGAGAGAAAAACCAUCCUGUGCUAAAGUCUGAUCGCACUGAGCUACCCUCAAUUGCAUCAUGAAGGCCCUCCUGCUCAUCCUUGGCACUCUUCUGUUGAUUAGUUUGACUCUGGCUGAUAACAAGGAGACCAACGAAGCUGGAGAGUCUCUCAGUACCUCUUCCGUUUCUCCUACAAAGCCAAGUGGCCAAGCUGCAAGCCUUGGUGGGCCAUCUUUCUUUCUGCUGUCACUCAUGCUGGUCCUCUUUCAUCUCUUCCAAGUAUACUGAGGCUGGACCUUCACUCCUCGGAGUGUUAUCACCCAGAGAGUUGUCCAAACCAUGACUGCCUUUGGGGAAUCCCCAUCCAUUCUACUGCUAACUUGUAGUCUCGACAACCCAGCCAGCAUUACUGCUCUAGCUGCAAUCAAUACGUAGCGCUGUUUCAUGUGCCAAUGCACCACGCUCCAAGGUUACUCAGCUCAGUCUUCACCACAAAGGCCAAAAAACCUACAAAGCUAAAGAAGAAGAAGGGAAAAAACAGACAUAUCAAGGGUAGAUCUUCACUGCAUGCACACAUACCAACAUGGUAUGCAUGACAGAUGAUAUGCAAAGGAGGCCUGAGCCAGGCUCUUUACUGAAGAGAAAAAUUGGAAUUCACCUUCGUGAAGAUAUUGUGGUGUCCCAUUGUCCCUCCCUUUUUUUAACAAGAAGGUAAAAUCCUUGAGGAAGUUAUCUUCAUAUUGUCUACUGAGAGCCACUCAAGACAAAAGCAACACAAGAGGAAGAAAGUGGCAUCUGGAAAUUCUCUGUUGGUGUCUUUGACAAUCCUUGUGCAGUUUAGUUCAAUUUGAUGAAUAAAUAAAAGCUUCUUAGCCAUUAAA